UGGAGCAUGUGGUUUAAUUCGAUGGUACGCGAGGAACCUUACCUGGGUUUUGACAUACAGUGUGAUAGGUCAGAGAUGAUCUAGCGUAGCAAUACGACGCUGUACAGGUGCUGCAUGGCUGUCGUCAGCUCGUGCCGUGAGGUGUUGGGUUAGGUCCCGCAACGAGCGCAACCCCUACUGCCAGUUACUAACAGGUGAAGCUGAGGACUCUGGCGGAACUGCCGGUGACAAACCGGAGGAAGGUGGGAUGACGUCAAGUCAUCAUGGCCCUUAUGUCCAGGGCUACACACGUGCUACAAUGGGUGAGACAGAGUGACGCGAAGCCGCGAGGUGGAGCAAAUCGCAGAAAACCUGUCUCAGUCCGGAUUGAAGUCUGCAACUCGACUUCAUGAAGGCGGAAUCGCUAGUAACCGCGAAUCAGCAGGUCGCGGUGAAUACGUUCCCGGGCCUU
This 451-nucleotide ribosomal RNA is filed under the name uncultured Spirochaetaceae bacterium. RNAcentral describes it as "bacterial SSU rRNA". It matches the Rfam family "Bacterial small subunit ribosomal RNA", at positions 933 to 1382 of the family's 1533-position model. Lineage: Bacteria; Pseudomonadati; Spirochaetota; Spirochaetia; Spirochaetales; Spirochaetaceae. The record is from RNAcentral.